Andrographis paniculata is the source of this 1195-nucleotide RNA transcript. RefSeq lists it as uncharacterized. The transcript has 10 exons. Lineage: Eukaryota; Viridiplantae; Streptophyta; Magnoliopsida; Lamiales; Acanthaceae. The record is from RefSeq and is a predicted model, not a curated record.
AUGGCCAUGGCGGACCUGUUGACGUGAGGAUCGAUUCCUUCCGGGAUGGCGGUUGUUGCAACGGUCGCCGGCGUUUGUGGUCGUGUGCUCGAGCUACCGAGCUCAGCGUCGGUGGCUAAAUCGUUUUGGACUUCUCUCUCAUCGUGUAGGUGCUACUCGAGCAUGAGUUGGAAUCCUCUGCAGCGCAGGACAACUGUGCUGCGUUCGAGAAAGCUCGUGAUUCGAGCCGCCAGAACCGAGUCCAAAGGGGCCUCUCUUGGCUCCAGAGCACCUGAUUUCGAGCUUCCGGAACCUCUCACUGGAAAAGUUUGGAAACUGGACGACUUCGAAGCUUACCCAGCGUUGCUGGUAAUGUUCAUCUGCAAUCAUUGCCCAUUUGUGAAACAUUUGAGAAAAGAUUUAGUUAAGCUUUCAAAUUUCUACAUGAAGAAAGGGCUCGGAGUGAUAGCAAUUUCUUCAAACUCUGUAACCACUCAUCCACAGGAUGGACCUGAGUUCAUGGCAGAGGAAGCUAAGACUUUUAAGUUUCCCUUUCCAUAUCUAUAUGAUGAGACCCAAGAUGUUGCUAGAAGCUUUGGAGCUGUUUGCACACCAGAGUUUUUUUUGUUUAAAAGGGAUGGCCGUAGGCCAUUCGAGUUAGUCUAUCACGGACAAUUUGAUGAUUCGCGCCCAAGUAGCAAUGUACCCAUCACAGGAAGGGAUUUGAGUUUGGCCAUCGACCGUGUUUUGAGUGGACAACCAGUUUCAUCGAUUCAAAAGCCCAGCGUGGGAUGCAGCAUCAAGUGGCAUCCUUAAGGCCAGAUCAAAACCAUCAUCCAUUGCCACCACUCCACUGUAUGAACCCUUUCUUAUGAGGGUUUGGUGUCAAUUUAAUUACACUUAUACCUCAGUAGCCUACAGCAGCAAGUUGCAUGAGAAUUUCAUUGAUAAUGGAUGCAAUUAUCCAAUUGAUCACCCCCACCCACCCACCCUAUGUGUUUUACUAUUAAGGAAACAGUAAUUAUGAACUGUAUUUUGUGGUCCUUGAUUGGUUCUUGCACAGUACCUUUACUCCAAAAACAUUCCAUAUUCUUGCCAUCUUCUCCAACAAAUUUGUUCUGCAUGCUUAGGUAUAGGUUGUAGAAACUACUGCCAUUUCUAGCAGCUAAUUAUGAUGAAUAAAUGAAUUCAUAGGCUGGCUGUUUUUAUAUUAUUU